UUUAGUGAUUAUUGCGGUGGUGAACACCUCUUACCAUUUCGAACAGAGAAGUUAAGACCACUUGCGCAGAUGGUACUACAUUGUGGGAGAGUAUGUAAUCGCUAAUU
RNAcentral lists this ribosomal RNA (107 nucleotides) under bacterium. RNAcentral also lists the same sequence under 1 other name. The record is from RNAcentral.